AGGGUGCGCUUGGAACAAAUAUCAAAGUAUAGCUAAGAAGUAUAGUAUCUCCCUUA
Molecule: transfer RNA, 56 nt
Filed under: Melanotaenia angfa (Angfa rainbowfish)
Lineage: Eukaryota; Metazoa; Chordata; Actinopteri; Atheriniformes; Melanotaeniidae
Description: tRNA-Val
Source: RNAcentral